AGGGAUUUAGCUCAGUGGCAUAAGUACCUGCCUUGCAAGCAGGUGGUCGUGAGUUCAACCCCCAGUAUCGA
This 71-nucleotide transfer RNA is filed under the name Cavia porcellus (domestic guinea pig). It matches the Rfam family "tRNA". Rfam says of the family: Transfer RNA (tRNA) molecules are approximately 80 nucleotides in length. Their secondary structure includes four short double-helical elements and three loops (D, anti-codon, and T loops). Lineage: Eukaryota; Metazoa; Chordata; Mammalia; Rodentia; Caviidae. The record is from Rfam by way of RNAcentral.